RNAcentral lists this transfer RNA (78 nucleotides) under Planctomycetota bacterium. RNAcentral describes it as "Planctomycetes bacterium tRNA-Glu". It matches the Rfam family "tRNA". From Rfam's summary of the family: Transfer RNA (tRNA) molecules are approximately 80 nucleotides in length. Their secondary structure includes four short double-helical elements and three loops (D, anti-codon, and T loops). Lineage: Bacteria; Pseudomonadati; Planctomycetota. The record is from RNAcentral.
GGCCCCGUCGUCUAGCCAGGUCCAGGACACCAGGUUUUCAUCCUGGUAACACGGGUUCAAAUCCCGUCGGGGUCACAA